AGCUAACGCAUUAAGCACUCCGCCUGGGGAGUACGGUCGCAAGACUGAAACUCAAAGGAAUUGACGGGGGCCCGCACAAGCGGUGGAGCAUGUGGUUUAAUUCGAAGCAACGCGAAGAACCUUACCAGGUCUUGACAUCCUCUGACAAUCCUAGAGAUAGGACGUCCCCUUCGGGGGCAGAGUGACAGGUGGUGCAUGGUUGUCGUCAGCUCGUGUCGUGAGAUGUUGGGUUAAGUCCCGCAACGAGCGCAACCCUUGAUCUUAGUUGCCAGCAUUCAGUUGGGCACUCUAAGGUGACUGCCGGUGACAAACCGGAGGAA
Molecule: ribosomal RNA, 320 nt
Filed under: Bacillus subtilis
Lineage: Bacteria; Bacillati; Bacillota; Bacilli; Caryophanales; Bacillaceae
Description: bacterial SSU rRNA
Rfam family: Bacterial small subunit ribosomal RNA
Source: RNAcentral